UACGUAGGGUGCAAGCGUUAUCCGGAAUUAUUGGGCGUAAAGAGCUCGUAGGCGGUUUGUCGCGUCUGCUGUGAAAACCCGAGGCUCAACCUCGGGCCUGCAGUGGGUACGGGCAGACUAGAGUGCGGUAGGGGAGACUGGAAUUCCUGGUGUAGCGGUGAAAUGCGCAGAUAUCAGGAGGAACACCGGUGGCGAAGGCGGGUCUCUGGGCCGGUACUGACGCUAAGGCGCGAAAGCGUGGGGAGCGAACAGG
Molecule: ribosomal RNA, 253 nt
Filed under: uncultured bacterium
Lineage: Bacteria
Description: partial 16S ribosomal RNA
Rfam family: Bacterial small subunit ribosomal RNA
Source: RNAcentral